RNAcentral lists this long non-coding RNA (3022 nucleotides) under Oncorhynchus kisutch (coho salmon). RNAcentral's name for it is "lncRNA (ENSOKIG00005045100.1)". Lineage: Eukaryota; Metazoa; Chordata; Actinopteri; Salmoniformes; Salmonidae. The record is from RNAcentral.
AUGAUACAUUUUUUGAUAUUUUUACUGAAAACAAGACAAAAAUACCAAGUAAUUUUUUGCAGUGUGACUCCAUUAAAUGUGUGUGUGUGUGUGUGUAGAUUAAACAUGAACGGGCCAAAACGGACAUGGCAGCAGGUCAAAAUCAAAUACAAGAACAUUCUGCAGAAUGCAGUGAAAAAGAAUACCCACAGACAAGGCACGGGUGGUGGGUCACCAAAGGCUGACCUUACCCCAGCAGAGGACAUGGCCUUGGAGCUAAAUAAAGGCAGGCCCGUCUUAGAGGGGAUCCCUGGGGGGAAAGAGACAAGCAUAGGUUCCUCCCAAGAUGCCACCCGCUUCAUUCAAGUGUCUGGCAGCACUGAGUUCCUGUUAGAGCCACCAGCACAAGCACCAGACGAUGCUGAUCCAGGUGAAGGCCCCAGUGCAGCAGCAACAGCACAUGAUGGAGACGAUGAUGAGGAGGAGACCAUCUCUCUGGAUUCCAGAAGGCAUGAGGUAUCAUGUUAAGACUGUGAAAGUACUAUUUACUCUACAAUGGUGAGGAGUCCUCAUCAAAAUCAAAAAAUCUAAUUUCUUUUACAGGACCCAGAUGCUAUACAGUGGGAAAACCAGCCUGGCAACAUAGUGCGUAUUAAUAAAAGGACACCACAUCCUGCCAAAUUCCAGCUGCGCUAAUUGUAUUGUGUUCACAGAGCUCACAAGCUAUCAGAAAGUUGUAUGGCAACCACCUCCGGCGCCAAAUAGAACUGGCAGACAUAGACAUUCAGUACAAGAAGAAAAAGAUGGAAAAUCUUGCACUGGAGUUCGAAAUAAAAAAGAGGACAAUUAGGAAACUGGACCUUGAAAUAAAAAAACUUGAGAGGGAGGUGAGAUAUGCCUUCAAUGUACACUGUAUGCUAACUGUAACACAAAUGUAUUAAUCAUUAUUUUUCUUUCCUCCCCCAGCUCCAAGAAGAUGACACAGCUCAAAAUAAAAAUUUGGUAUAUUCUCGUAAAGUCAAGUGAGCCAUGACAUAUGAGCUCUUAUUGUGAGCACACAGGACGGUGGCAUCUUUCUAAGGUUUUUUUUAUUUUCCCAGCAAUCAGUACAACCAAGUCAUCGUUAUAAGGCAUCGCCCUCUUUUGCCCACCCCCCCAGCACCAGGUGUGACCACUAGCCUAUAUGAAGGCCCAAAAUUGUGUGUUCCUUUCUGCUCUGACAAUGGCAUGCCCAUUCGUGCGAGAUGUGGUGGAUGAAGAAGCACUUGUGCUGAGGAGAGCCUUCAGGCGAGAAAGGGUCUUCAGGGACCGGUUGGACCCACUGGCCUUCCCUGAUGACCAUCUAUAUGAAAGAUACAGGUUUUCUGCAGAUGGCAUCAGGUAUCUAUGCAGACUACUGGGUCCCAGGAUUAAGCACCGCACUGCACGGAGCCAUGCACUGAGUGUGGAGCAAAUGGUUUGUGUGGCCUUGCGCUUUUUUGCUAGUGGAGCCUUCCUGUACUCAGUGGGGGAUGCAGAACAGCUGAACAAGGCCACAAUUUGCCGCACAAUAAGGAGUGUGUGUCUGGCUAUCAAAGCAUUAGCAGAUGUCUUCAUCUCCUUCCCUGGCCACAGAAGACUCUGUGACAUCAAAGAGGAGUUCUAUAGGAUUGCAGGUAAGAGGAUCUACAAAUUACAGGACCACUGUUAACACAUAGUAGGAUACUCAUUACUUUGUGUGACAGGUUUCCCCAAUGUCAUUGGUGCAGUGGACUGCACACACAAGGAUAAAAGCCCCCUCAGGUGCCCAUGAGGCCAAUUUUGUGAAUAGGAAAUCCUUUCACAGCAUUAAUGUUCAGGUGAACAUAACUUUUUGAUAUUGUCCAUUGACGAACACUCUGCAUUGCCAGUGAUGUGCAUUGAUUGGUGUAAUAUUCCUCAUCUUAUGAUUUCAAAUGGUCUGCAAUGCUGACUGUGUGAUCAGCAAUGUUGUGGCAAAAUGGCCUGGCUCAGUCCAUGACUCCAGAAUCUUUCGGGCCUCUGAAAUCUAUCAGUGCCUAUCACAAGGUAAGCCACACAACCCCUAUUUAUAACCAUCAUGGCUGUGUCAAGAAUAUCACUGUGUUUAUGAGGUAGUAAUGAUGAGAUUUUGUGUUGACAGGUGAAUUCUCUGGUGUGUUGCUGGGAGACAGGGGGUAUGGCUGCCAGCCUUUUCUCCUGACACCUUUCACAGACCCCCAGGAAGCACCGCAGGCCUACAACCAUGCCAGGACCAGGGCCAGAGUUGAAAUGACCUUUGGCCUCCUGAAGGCACGCUUUCACUGCCUUCACAAAUUAAGGGUCAGCCCUGUUAGGGCAUGUGAUAUUACUGUGGCUUGUGCUGUCCUCCACAAUGUGGCCUGCCUGAGGAAGGAGAGGGCCCCCAGAGUGCCACCAGCCAUGGACUGGGACAAUCCGGCAAUCUUCCCUGAUGACGACAGUGGUCGGCUGCUGAGGGACCAAUAUGUGUUGAAUUAUUUUAGUUAGUAUGUGUGCUUUCAACUUUGGUUAAAUAUGUCCUGCGGUGGCAGAGGAAUUCGGGUUUUUUGGGGUUCGUUUUUUGACGAAUUUGGCCUCUUAUGAUGUUUGUGCGGUAUACUGUGUGUAAUACAAGGCUGCAGGGAGGCUACUGCAUCCAUUCAUUUGUCUGUUCAGUUGAUGUGUAUGGAUUUGUCCUGCAUUUAUUUUAGUGUGCAGACAUGCAGGGUGUGUUAUAUACAGACCUUUGAAUGUGUAUGUAUCAUUUUGUAUAAUAUGCUUGGAUUCUGUGCUUUCCAUCUUGUAGAGUCACUGUGACUUCAGUUUCGAAAGGAGCUGAUGGUUUACCUGCUUUGUUUUGUCCUUAUUCAAUAAAGGAACAUAAUGUUACACAUUGUGUUUUUAUAUUCAUAUGGAAUGUGUAUUUGUUUAUAUGACAGAGUACUAGGGCCACACUGAAGAAAAAGGAUAAAGUCAUAAAUUUAUGAGGCUGGUUCUUUCUGCAGAAAAGCUACAUAUUGUUUUUACAGUUUUGAUACUUAUGACA